GGGUGCUUAGCUCAGCUGGUUAGAGCACCUGCCUUACAAGCAGGUGGUCAAAGGUUCGAAUCCUUUAGCACCCACCA
This 77-nucleotide transfer RNA is filed under the name Rickettsiales bacterium. RNAcentral describes it as "tRNA-Val". It matches the Rfam family "tRNA". Rfam says of the family: Transfer RNA (tRNA) molecules are approximately 80 nucleotides in length. Their secondary structure includes four short double-helical elements and three loops (D, anti-codon, and T loops). Lineage: Bacteria; Pseudomonadati; Pseudomonadota; Alphaproteobacteria; Rickettsiales. The record is from RNAcentral.